UUUCAAACAAAGAGACGUAAAAUACUUUCUUGUGACCUUCUGCAAAACGGUAAAGCACAUCCCCUCAACAUGAAAGCCUGUGUAAUCUUUAGCUACUAAUUUGAAGGUCUUCAUCUUUUUCACACCUCCCAAAUUUUGUAUAAAACCCCUGAGCAUAAGUUUCAGUCGCAUAAUUUGUUUUCUGCAAGUUACCUACGCAACAACCACGAUGUUCAAACUUUUUGUUUUCUUGGCCGCUCUUUUGGCUUUCGCCUUGGCCGCUCCAAAACCUGCGCCUCAGUAUUUGGGUCUUUACGGAGCCGGAUUAGGAUAUGGCUAUGGCGGCUAUGGCGGCUACUACGGCGGAUAUGCCCCCUACGUCGGCAGCUACAUUCUAUAAGACCUUUGACUGAAUAAAUACAUUAGUAAAUUAAA
Molecule: long non-coding RNA, 414 nt
Organism: Zophobas morio
Lineage: Eukaryota; Metazoa; Arthropoda; Insecta; Coleoptera; Tenebrionidae
Exons: 2
Source: RefSeq, a predicted model, not a curated record